Molecule: ribosomal RNA, 460 nt
Filed under: uncultured bacterium
Lineage: Bacteria
Description: partial 16S ribosomal RNA
Rfam family: Bacterial small subunit ribosomal RNA
Source: RNAcentral
CCUACGGGAUGCAGCAGUGAGGAAUAUUGGUCAAUGGACGCAAGUCUGAACCAGCCAUGCCGCGUGCAGGAAGACGGCUCUAUGAGUUGUAAACUGCUUUUGUACGAGGGUAAACGCAGAUACGUGUACCUGUUUGAAAGUACCGUACGAAUAAGGAUCGGCUAAGUCCGUGCCAGCAGCCGCGGUAAUACGGAGGAUUCGAGCGUUAUCCGGAUUUAUUGGGUUUAAAGGGUGCGUAGGCGGUCGGAUAAGUUAGAGGUGAAAUCCCGAGGCUCAACUUCGGAAUUGCCUCUGAUACUGUUCGGCUAGAGUGUAGUUGCGGUAGGCGGAAUGUAUGGUGUAGCGGUGAAAUGCUUAGAGAUCAUACAGAACACCGAUUGCGAAGGCAGCUUACCAAGCUACUUCUGACGUUGAGGCACGAAAGCGUGGGGAGCAAACAGGAUUAGAUACCCGUGUAGUC